UACGUAGGGGGCUAGCGUUGUCCGGAAUCAUUGGGCGUAAAGCGCGUGUAGGCGGUCCGGUAAGUCCGCUGUGAAAGUCGAGGGCUCAACCCUCGAAUGCCGGUGGAUACUGUCGGGCUUGAGUACGGGAGAGGCGAGUGGAAUUCCUGGUGUAGCGGUGAAAUGCGCAGAUAUCAGGAGGAGCACCGAUUGCGAAGGCAGCUCGCUGGAACGUUACUGACGCUGAGACGCGAAAGCGUGGGGAGCAAACAGG
This 253-nucleotide ribosomal RNA is filed under the name uncultured bacterium. RNAcentral describes it as "partial 16S ribosomal RNA". It matches the Rfam family "Bacterial small subunit ribosomal RNA", at positions 524 to 776 of the family's 1533-position model. The record is from RNAcentral.